UACCAGCACCCCGAGUGGUCGGGACGUUUAUUGGGCCUAAAGCAUCCGUAGCCGGUUCUACAAGUCUUCCGUUAAAUCCAGCUGCUUAACAGAUGGGCUGCGGAAGAUACUAUGGAGCUAGGAGGCGGGAGAGGCAAGCGGUACUCGAUGGGUAGGGGUAAAAUCCGUUGAUCCACUGAAGACCACCAGUGGCGAAGGCGGCUUGCCAGAACGCGCUCGACGGUGAGGGAUGAAAGCUGGGGGAGCAAACCGG
Molecule: ribosomal RNA, 253 nt
Filed under: uncultured bacterium
Lineage: Bacteria
Description: partial 16S ribosomal RNA
Rfam family: Archaeal small subunit ribosomal RNA
Source: RNAcentral